Molecule: long non-coding RNA, 288 nt
Filed under: Mytilus galloprovincialis (Mediterranean mussel)
Lineage: Eukaryota; Metazoa; Mollusca; Bivalvia; Mytilida; Mytilidae
Source: RNAcentral
UGCUUAUAUAUGUUGGACUCAAAUCUAUGGCGGGUUCCAAAUCUAUGGAAGAUUCCUAAUCUAUGGUAAAUGUGACGUUACAAACGCCAAACAACUCAAAUCUAUGGCAGAUUUUUGUUUUCUCCAAAUCUAUGGCAGAUCUGGGGGAGAGAGUAACAUAUAACGUCAAAAUUGAAUAACGCCAUAUUACAUCUUCGCCGCCGCUAACGAUGGCGGAACCCAUAGAUUUGAACACCAUUCAAGAUGAAAUUAUUUUCCUGACAAAAAUUUGUCGGUGAUUUAAAGGAA